AUACGGAGGAUCCGAGCGUUAUCCGGAUUUAUUGGGUUUAAAGGGUGCGCAGGCGGGAGAUUAAGUCGGCGGUGAAAUUUUGCAGCUCAACUGUAAAAGUGCCUUCGAAACUGGUUUCCUUGAGUGUAGAUGAAGUAGGCGGAAUUUGUGGGGUAGCGGUGAAAUGCAUAGAUAUCACGAGGAACUCCGAUUGCGCAGGCAGCUUACUAAACUACUACUGACGCUCAGGCACGAAGGCGUGGGGAUCAAACAGGAUUAGAUACCCUGGUAGUCCACGCAGUAAACGAUGAUUACUAGCUGUUUGCGAUACAAUGUAAGCGGCUGAGCGAAAGCGUUAAGUAAUCCACCUGGGGAGUACGUUCGCAAGAAUGAAACUCAAAGGAAUUGACGGGG
This 393-nucleotide ribosomal RNA is filed under the name uncultured bacterium. Its description in RNAcentral is "partial 16S ribosomal RNA". It matches the Rfam family "Bacterial small subunit ribosomal RNA", at positions 523 to 918 of the family's 1533-position model. The record is from RNAcentral.